RNA transcript from Gasterosteus aculeatus aculeatus (three-spined stickleback), 2099 nucleotides. It is a transcript of the gene named dynein regulatory complex subunit 5, with no coding region annotated. The record is from RefSeq and is a predicted model, not a curated record. Lineage: Eukaryota; Metazoa; Chordata; Actinopteri; Perciformes; Gasterosteidae.
GACCGCUGCCGCACCACAGGGACGUUAACUUCGUGUGCGUGUUAUAAAACUUACCAAGUGGACCACUUUAUUCCACGUGAGCCAACGACAGGACCGGUAGCAGUUGAGUUAACGUUAACCUGUGUGAAGCGACCGCUAACUUCCUCUGGACGUUGGUUAGUUAGUUAGUUAGUUAGUUAGCAGCAGAAAGUCGCUGCGUGACAAUUACGACGUCCGUUUGCGAUUCAUUGAGGCGUUCAAGGGCACCUCGAAAAUAUCAACACUUCUUAGCGUGUCACUUUUAAUGUGUAAUUUGCUUAUUUUUAACCAGAGGAGAGUGUAAAAAAGACCCUGCGACAAUAUGUCCAGACCGCCUUAUUUUGGAGCCAAAGCGGACAACAGGAGGUUGAGGAGGAUCAUCGCUGAAGAUGUAGACUGGUCCCUCCAUGUGGUGCCUUGUUUAUCAAAGCUCUGCUUGCAAAGCAUUGUGAGAAGCUUUGAGGAAAAGCCCAUAUUUGAAGAACUUCCGCCUUUGGACAGAGUCUUUGUGCAGGAGAGACUGCCCACCUCCCUGCCUCUCCAUGUGACGGCCAACUCUGUCAGCGACGGCGUCUUCUGGAAGCGGUGCUGCGAGCAGCGCUGGGACAUUUGUGACCCCGCUGAUUAUGGCCACAGCUGGAAACGAAUGUUCUUCGAGAGGCACGUGGAGAACAUCAUCGAGCUUUUCAUCCCAGAUGAAACUGAGCCAAGGGCAGUCCUGGAGAUGGUGCCUCUUUGUAAGAACUAUGUCAAGAGACUGGACAUCUCCCAACUCCUGCCUCCUAUCAAGGAGCCCGAGAAGAAGGAGGAGGAGGAAUAUGGUCCAGAGUUGGCCGGGCCGUCCAUGGACCACUUCGACUUUAACAUCCUGCUCAAAAAGCUGACGAAACUGGAAGAGCUUCAUUUGGUGUACAGGGUGAAGCAAUGCGGCAUGAACUUUGAACGGACGAUGUUUGAGAUGACUGACAGAGAUUGCGAGUCCCUCGCCGAGGCCCUCGUGUCCUGCAAGACUUUGAAGCUUCUGAGGCUCCAUCAAAGCAACAUUGAGGAUAAAAAGUGCCGGCGGCUGGUGAGAAACCUUCUGGACCACCCGUCCCUGACGGAGCUCGACUUGUCCCACAACGUGAUCGGAGACAAAGGAGCCGCAGCCAUCGGGAGGCUGCUGGCCAGGAAUAAACUGGAGACCCUGAACAUGUGCGACAACAACAUCAGAGGCCCGGGAGCUGAAGCUAUAGCUCGCGCCUUGUCCGUGAACUCCAGCCUCCUGUCACUCAACCUGCGUCUCAACCGCGUGGGAGAUGGGGGGGGGCGGGCCAUUGGUGAGGCCUUGCUGAACAACAGGACCCUGCUUCACCUGCACCUGGGGGCCAAUGUGGUAACAGGGCCUUCUGCCGUCGCACUGUCGAAGGUUCUAGUUGAGAACGGCACCCUGAAGAGCAUCAAUCUCUCCUGCAACAACCUGGGCGUGGAUGGAGGUAGAGCUCUGCAGGAGGCGAUGUCUCAUAACACCAGCGUGACAGAAUGUGACAUCCGCCUGACGCAGAUUGACGAGCAGAGCGUCUCCUUCAUCAACAAGGCGGUUUGGACCAACCAGAGACCAAGUAAACAACAACAACAACAACAAACAGCAAACCCGUCCGUUUAGCCACAGAGAGGGAUUUUCUUUACAACAAAUACAGCACAACGUUUCCUUUUCAUAAUAAUCGGUGCAAUAAAAACGCUACGAUUUCACACACGUCUCCAUCAUCUGUUACAGCUUAUUAACUUUAAAUGAGACAAUCACAUGAGAAUCACUUAAUGAACAAGACAAAUACGCGUUUGACACAUUUUGAUUCACGGCUUUGGUUUUAAGUCCUUAUUUGACACGAAGGCAACGUUGUGUUGGAGUUGGAAUACACACACAUUUGUGCCCACGUGUCCAUCCGGAUGGAUCACGUCUGGCCGAUGCCCCGUCAUGAGAAACGCUUAAUGGGCUCAUUUCAAUCCCUUCUGUAAUUUGGUUGCCCAUUAAAAUGCCUUUUAAACGCUUAUAUUCUCCACCACAUUAACCAAUAAAGGGUCAGUUUGACAUUUUCGGGAAA